AUUGAACGCUGGCGGCAGGCCUAACACAUGCAAGUCGAGCGGAGGAAGGGAGCUUGCUCCUGGAUUCAGCGGCGGACGGGUGAGUAAUGCCUAGGAAUCUGCCUGGUAGUGGGGGAUAACGUCCGGAAACGGGCGCUAAUAUCGCAUACGUCCUGAGGGAGAAAGUGGGGGAUCUUCGGACCUCACGCUAUCAGAUGAGCCUAGGUCGGAUUAGCUAGUUGGUGGGGUAAAGGCCUACCAAGGCGACGAUCCGUAACUGGUCUGAGAGGAUGAUCAGUCACACUGGAACUGGGACACGGUCCAGACUCCUACGGGAGGCAGCAGUGGGGAAUAUUGGACAAUGGGCGAAAGCCUGAUCCAGCCAUGCCGCGUGUGUGAAGAAGGUCUUCGGAUUGUAAAGCACUUUAAGUUGGGAGGAAGGGCAGUAAGUUAAUACCUUGCUGUUUUGACGUUACCAACAGAAUAAGCACCGGCUAACUUCGUG
Molecule: ribosomal RNA, 484 nt
Filed under: uncultured bacterium
Lineage: Bacteria
Description: partial 16S ribosomal RNA
Rfam family: Bacterial small subunit ribosomal RNA
Source: RNAcentral